UACAGAGGGGGCAAGCGUUGUUCGGAAUUACUGGGCGUAAAGGGCGCGUAGGCGGCCGCCUAAGUCAGACGUGAAAUCCCUCGGCUCAACCGGGGAACUGCGUCUGAUACUGGGUGGCUUGAAUUCGGGAGAGGGAUGCGGAAUUCCAGGUGUAGCGGUGAAAUGCGUAGAUAUCUGGAGGAACACCGGUGGCGAAGGCGGCAUCCUGGACCGACAUUGACGCUGAGGAGCGAAAGCUAGGGGAGCAAACGGG
This 253-nucleotide ribosomal RNA is filed under the name uncultured bacterium. RNAcentral's name for it is "partial 16S ribosomal RNA". It matches the Rfam family "Bacterial small subunit ribosomal RNA", at positions 524 to 776 of the family's 1533-position model. The record is from RNAcentral.